RNAcentral lists this ribosomal RNA (253 nucleotides) under uncultured bacterium. RNAcentral's name for it is "partial 16S ribosomal RNA". It matches the Rfam family "Bacterial small subunit ribosomal RNA", at positions 524 to 776 of the family's 1533-position model. The record is from RNAcentral.
UACAGAGGGUGCUAGCGUUGUUCGGAAUUACUGGGCGUAAAGCGAGUGUAGGCGGUCUCAUAAGUCGGGUGUGAAAGCCCUCGGCUUAACCGAGGAAGUGCAUUCGAAACUACUGGACUUGAAUACUGGAGAGGAUCGCGGAAUUCCCGGUGUAGAGGUGAAAUUCGUAGAUAUCGGGAGGAACACCAGUGGCGAAGGCGGCGAUCUGGACAGAUAUUGACGCUGAUGUGCGAAAGCGUGGGGAGCAAACAGG